Molecule: long non-coding RNA, 3861 nt
Organism: Mobula hypostoma (lesser devil ray)
Lineage: Eukaryota; Metazoa; Chordata; Chondrichthyes; Myliobatiformes; Myliobatidae
Exons: 4
Source: RefSeq, a predicted model, not a curated record
UAUAAACUGGCAGUUAUGCUUCUCAAAUACACCUUCAGCUUACAAAUUACAGGAUCCGCACAGGGGAACGGCGUGGGAAAGUGGGAGACAAGCCCCAGGCAUAACUUUUUGCUUAUGGAUCUUAGUCAUGUGUUUGAGCAUUAAAAAAGCAUUUACAGGAAAAUAAAGAAAUACAACAAAAUUUAUGAAAAACUAUACAUAAACAAGACUGGCAAACAACCAAUGUGAAAAAGGAGACAAACUGUGCAAAUAAAAGAAUAAAUAAUACUGAGAACAUGAGCUGUAGAGGCCUUGAAGGGCUGAUGCUCUAGUGCGGUACUGAGAGAGUGCAAAGCUGUAGGAAGAACGGGGAAGUAUUCCCUGGGUUCCCCUGGAACUUGCCACAUUUUCUAGGCAAAUGAGACAAACUGGUUUCCCAGCUUGCUCCAUGAAGAAGUAAUCAUUGAUGUGGAAGAAGUCCAAGUGUCUUGGAAAUUUCAGAACUCAGUGUCUACCUUCCUGCGUUUUGCAUUCAUUGCCAUUGGAAUUUUUUUCUUCAAUUUUAUUUCGAAACGUGAGUUAUUCAACAAGUAUCGUAGCACAUGUAAAUAUCUGGAUAUUUAGCGUGGAUUUCUUGUUAAAACACAGUGAUGCUGUUUCUGUUUACAAAUUUGAAUGACCCCAUCUGAAAACCCGCGCGUGCACGGAGAGUAUCUGAUACAUAUUAAUAAGGUAGUCUAUCUUCCCGUCAUUCGUAUAUACCAGUGUUUGGUUUGGAAGAAAAUGGAACCUGGGGCCAGUGUAACAAAACACCAUGCAUGUCCAUCAGUGUGGUGGCGUGAAACACUCAGAAUAAGGAAAAAUCACUCGCGGGCUGGAUAAGCAUAGUAUCUCAAUAUUUGCUCACAGGCUGGUGAAAAUACCUUCGCAGGACGGAUCUGGCCCGCGGGCCGUAGGUUGCCUACCCUUGGUGUAGACAUUUAAAAUAGUAAUGUGGCAAAAGUAUAGUAUAUUAGCUAUGAAUGUGCCAGAAAAGCAGGGAUGGUUCCCCUGAGAACUGUAAAGUCGAGAGAUGAUUUGGUAUAAUACAAAACUAUGAAGGCUCCAUUCAUGUGAAUGAAGAGAAACUAUAUCUAUGAGUAAAUGGAUCAAGAGCAUAGUUUCAACACAUAGUUUUAAGCAAAGCUCAGGGGUAAGUGGAAAGACACAUUAUGAUUUAAAAUUAGCUGCCUGAAAGAAUGGCGGGAGAAUUCAAAUGUGACUUUCAAAGGAUAAACAGACAAGAUAUUUGAGGGAGAAAAAGUUUGCAGAGCUGUGAAGCGGGGUGAGCAUUGUGACUGCAUUUCUUGGGCUAAAUGAGGAUAAGAAUAGGAUGAUUUGGCUGGUGAAUAUGUGGUUGAGGAAUUGGUGCAGUGGGCAGGGUUUCAGAUUUCUGGAUCGUUGGGAUCUCAUCUGGGGAAGGUAUGCUAUUUACAGAAAGGACAGGUAACACCUGAAUUUCAGGGGACCAAUAUCCUUGUGGGCAGGUUUACUAGAGCUGUUGGAGAGAGUUUAAACUAAUUUGCAGAGGAAUGUGAACUGGAGUGAUACGGCAGAGGAUGGGGCAUUUGGUAUACAAGUAGAUGCAGUGUAUAGUGAGGCUGUGAGAUAGGAUAGGCAGUUGAUAGGAAAAUUGCAGUCAGUGGGAUGAGUUGAAGUGUAUCUUUAAACUAAUUAGUGGGGUGGUUCAAUGGUUUGGAAAUUGAGGCUAAAGUAAAAAGGAAGGAGAAUGCAGGAGAGAUUAUGAAAGUCUCCAGAAUAAAUUUAAAAACAGAAACUUUAGAAAUGCAUUAGAAUUUAACUCCCAGUAACAUGGGAUAAAAUUGAAAAGGGUGAUAAAUACAGGACUGAAGGUCUUAUAUUUGAAUCCAUGCAGAAUUUGGAAUAAGGUAGACGAUCUUGUAGCACAGUUAGAGAUUGGCAGUUAUGACAUUCUGGGCAUCACCCUAGGUCAUGGCUGAGGGAAGAUCACAGUUGGGAACUGAAAAUCCAAGGAUACGCCUUGUGUCAAAAAGACAGGCAGGUAGGCAGAGAGGGUGGGAUGGCGCUGUUGGUAAAAAAUGAAAUCAAAGACUGAGAAAGAGGUGUCUUAGGAUCGUAAGAUGUAAAACCCUUGUGGAUAGAGUUAAGAAACUGCAACGGUAAAAAGACCCAGAUGGAGUUACGUACAGGCCUCUGCAGCUAGGAUACAAAUCACAAUAGGAGAUAGAAAAGCAACGUAAAAAAUUCGAUGGUACAAUAGUCAUGGAGGAUUUCAACAUGUGAGUAAAUUGGGAAAAUUAGGCUAGUGCUGGAUCCCAAGAGUGGAAAUUUGUAGAAUGCCUACGAGAUGGCUUUUUGGACCAGGCUGAGCACACUAGAAAAAGGCAAUUCUGGAGUGGGUGUUGUGUAGUGAACCAGAUUUAAUUAGGGAGUUUUAAGGUGAAGGAACCCUUAUGAGGGGGGUCAUCAUAAUAUGAAAGAAUUCACCCUGCAGUUUGAGAGGGAGAAGCUAAAAUCAGAUGUGGAAUAAAGGGAAAGACGGAGCAUGAAGCAGGAGCUGGCCAAAGUUGACUGGAAGAGAACAUGAGCAGAAAUGAUGGCAGGACAGCAAUGGCUGGAGUUUCUGGUAGUAAUUCGGAAGGCACAAGAGAGAUUCUGCUAAAGAAAAAGAAAUAUUCUAAACGGAGGAUGAAGCAACCGUGCCUGAGAAGUCAAAGACAGCAUGAAAGCAAAAGAGAGGACAUAUAAUAUUGCAAGAGAAGCUAGAGAAUUAGGAAGUUUUUAAAAACCAAAAGGCAGCAUCUAAAAAAAUUAAAGGGUAUGCGGAGCGUUUGAUGGUUCUAGACAUGUACUCGCUGGAAUUUAGAAGAAUUUUGAAGUUUCAAGUAAAAUUAUUAUCAAAGAAUGUACAAUUUAUACAACCUUGAGAUUUGUUUACUUACAGGCAGCCACCAAGCAAGAAACCCGAAAGACUCAAUUAAAAAAAAGACCAACCCCUGAUGUGCAGAGAAAGGGGGGAGAAAAAACACAAAUCAUGGAAACAAUAGAAAGAGUGACAACAUUCCAAAUCAAAAUGAGUCCUUAGAUCCAAACCUCAGACUAGUUCCAAAGCCUUAGUAUCAAUCCAGCAUAUUAGCGGACACAGAGCACAACAGAUGGGGACAGUCGUCAUAGCCUCAGUGCCAUGGAGAGAGGAGUGAACAUUGUGGGAGAACAAGUGAAAUCAGCACUCUAUCUUUCCAGUAUAUCUGGGCUGGUAUUUAAAUUGUCCGAACAGCGUACUGUACCUUGCACUAGGAUCCAGGCACUGCUGCAGCAAAAGGCUUCUGGUCCUAGCAGACGCUGCCCAGAGACUUGAUCCGGGCCCAGAUUUCACCACCCAGCCCAAAGCUGAUCUCACUUUCUCCAAAUCAGCUUGGCGCCCAGAGCAAUCCAACCUCAGACCCAGGCCACACCUCAGCUUCUCCUCUCCACAUGGGUCACUCCAUCUGUGUCGAUUCUGCAACAUAGCAGCAUGGCUCAUUCCUCAAAUUCACUUGACCUUCGUUGUUUGCAGUGGUAAUUUACUACAGAAAUGGUGUUAUUAGCGAUGUUGUUAGUCAAAUUUCUUGCCUUUUGAACUACCGCUGCCUUCUGCACGGGUUCAGUAGUCCCUUCUUAAACAGGAAAAAUUAAAGAAUUGAAAGGCCAAGAUAGAGUGGAUGUGGAGAGAAUGUUUGCUAUAGUGGGAUUGCCUUGGACCAGAAGGCACAGCCUCAGAAAAGAGGGAUGUCUUUUUAGAACAGAGAUGAAGAGGGAUGUUUUUUAGAACAGAGAUGAGGAGGAAUUUCUUUCACCAAAGGGAGGUGAAUCUGUGGAAUU